GUGCCAGCAGCCGCGGUAAGACGAACCGUCCUAACGUUGUUCGGAAUCACUGGGCUUAAAGGGCGCGUAGGCGGUCGGCAAAGUUAGGGGUGAAAUCUUUCGGCUUAACCGGAAAAGUGCCUUUAAAACUAGUCGACUCGAGCGAGAUAGGGGCAACUGGAACUUCCGGUGGAGCGGUGAAAUGCGUUGAUAUCGGAAGGAACGCCGGUGGCGAAAGCGAGUUGCUGGAUCUCUUCUGACGCUGAGGCGCGAAAGCUAGGGGAGCAAACGGGAUUAGAUACCCUCGUAGUCC
RNAcentral lists this ribosomal RNA (292 nucleotides) under uncultured bacterium. RNAcentral's name for it is "partial 16S ribosomal RNA". It matches the Rfam family "Bacterial small subunit ribosomal RNA", at positions 505 to 796 of the family's 1533-position model. The record is from RNAcentral.